This 474-nucleotide ribosomal RNA is filed under the name uncultured organism. Its description in RNAcentral is "partial 16S ribosomal RNA". It matches the Rfam family "Bacterial small subunit ribosomal RNA", at positions 335 to 800 of the family's 1533-position model. The record is from RNAcentral.
ACUCCUGCGGGAGGCAGCAGUGGGGAAUUUUGGACAAUGGGCGAAAGCCUGAUCCAGCAAUGCCGCGUGAGUGAAGAAGGCCUUCGGGUUGUAAAGCUCUUUUGUCAGGGAAGAAACGGUGAGAGCUAAUAUCUCUUGCUAAUGACGGUACCUGAAGAAUAAGCACCGGCUAACUACGUGCCAGCAGCCGCGGUAAUACGUAGGGUGCAAGCGUUAAUCGGAAUUACUGGGCGUAAAGCGUGCGCAGGCGGUUUUGUAAGUCUGAUGUGAAAUCCCCGGGCUCAACCUGGGAAUUGCAUUGGAGACUGCAAGGCUAGAAUCUGGCAGAGGGGGGUAGAAUUCCACGUGUAGCAGUGAAAUGCGUAGAUAUGUGGAGGAACACCGAUGGCGAAGGCAGCCCCCUGGGUCAAGAUUGACGCUCAUGCACGAAAGCGUGGGGAGCAAACAGGAUUAGAUACCCCGGUAGUCCCAUGA